Molecule: long non-coding RNA, 1565 nt
Organism: Numida meleagris (helmeted guineafowl)
Lineage: Eukaryota; Metazoa; Chordata; Aves; Galliformes; Numididae
Source: Ensembl
AUGAGUCGCUUCCCACUCCCACAACUGGUGGGGAGCACGCUCCCCUCCCCAUGUCCCCGCGCUGCUGUUUGCUCCAGCGCUGGUGGCUUUUGGGUCAUUUGGGGACACGGGGAGGGGGCACGGCGCGGGGAUGCUCCGCAGCACCCUCAGCACACCCUGGGUGGGGGCAUGACCCCACUGCUUCCCCACGGCACUGCCUGCAGCCGCGUGCGUGCGGGUGGAAGGGGUGAGAGGGGUUUGCUCUCCCUUCCACGGUGCUGGGCUGGAGCAGGGUGGGUAGCACAGGACCCAAGGACAGAAAUACUGGCGUGGAGCCCCUGCUCCUGCCCGAGGAAGAGCAUCCGAAGUGGGUGCCAGCAGAGCAGCCUGCAGAGCUCCAUUCCCAACCACUGCGGGAUGGAGGAUGCUGGCGGAGCACCGCGCAGAAGGCACAGGAGGGCGAAGCGUGCACGGAGAGCCCUAGGACAGGCCUGCCCACCCCCCCAGUUCAGCGCUGGGGGGGGGGCUGCUCCUGCUUCUCACCACUUGUCUGACCCACGGACUCAGGGCACAGGUCUGGAAAUGCUUUUGGAGCUGCUGGAAAUGAAGCCGCACCCUGAGAGCAGCAGGCAGCGGGGCUCAGCAGGCAUGGACAUGGCAGAGAGAAGGGGCUGGGCUGCGACCUGCAGAGCCCUGGGGGAGAGGAGAGGGGGUUGCAUAGGAUUUAACAGGGCAAAGACCUCGUGCAAGCUUGUGGUACAGCAAUCAGGUCUUGCUAGUGCUGGUGUCAAGCAGGAAUGGGGGGAAUCCAGCGGCCGUGGCUUGCUCUGGGUUGGCCACGCUGUGUGUGGGGCUCUCUGCUCGUCCCAGGCUGGGGGCUGGCACAGCACGCAGCAGGGCCGCAGGUUCCACUGAGACAUCACUCCAUAAAGGCAAAACUCGGGGAUGGAGGGGAUGGGAACGGGCGCUCAGAAGCCUCCCGGUUCUCCAGGGCCUCCUCUCUGCCUGCUGAGGGGGGCGAGGGCUCUGCUGGCUUCAGCGUGCCCCAGACACAAAGCGCCUUGGAGACAGGCUUCUGCACUCAACCUGAAAUUGCAGACUCCUGGGGAAAUCCCAGCCUGCUUCUGCCCUUCCUGUUCAAGCACAACCUCGAAGAAACCGUCUCACCGCCGCCGCCGCGCCGGCUGCUGGCCCGAGUCACGGCUGGGAAGGUUCCACAUCACAAUUCUGCAUUUCUCAGCCACAGAGGGCAAAAACCCCCAAUGCCAAGCAGACAGAGCCCGAACCCCGAGCGAUGGGACGGCAGAGCACGAUCCUGCACCGCCCCAGCUCCUGCAGAGCGGCUGCAUCCCCUGCUCCCAGCCCCGAGGUGCGCAGGAUGUGACCCAGCUCCUGCCCCACAGUGCAGCACUGCAGGACACCAGAGAGACACGAGCAGGGGCACAGCAAUGCCACGUCCCCACUGCGCUGCCCUGUGCAGAACGGAGGCACCAAAACCUCCCCAAGCUCCGGCACAGCGCGGUUUGUGCUCAAGGGCCUUUGUCCGUGCCCUGCCAAGAAGCUCGCCAGUUUUGCUCACGAGAAAU